UUCUUCUUCUUUCUUCUUCUUUCACUCUCUGUUCUCUCUCAUUCCCUCUUACACUCUCUCUCGGUUCAUAGGAUACCUGCAACUGAUCUCAUCUAGGCUAUUCUUGAAAUAGCGAGCGUGUUCGAACAUCAGCGAAGCCCCUGCAACCCUUCUUCACUUCUUCAAUCUCUGUUCUCUCUCCUUCCCUCUUACACGCUGAUAUCGCUCUCUCUCGGUUGCCUCGAAUUAGAGAGAGAGAUUUCGAACAUCAACGAAUCCCCCUGCUGGUUCUUACGCACAGAAUGGUUCGAUCUAAGGUUUGGGAGGGCGCUGUUGCUUGGUGUACAGUCAUCUAGAUCUCAGCUUACUUACUCUCUUUCAAGUUAUGGAAGCAGUUGCAGGUUGCAGGUCACGAUGUUAGUUCCCUUGGAUUUGCAGUGCAGCCAAGUCUCUUGUGAACCACUUGUGCCAUGACACAAGUGCCAAUUGAGCAAUAAAAUUUUGUAUGCAAUCGGUUCUGAAUUUCCUAUUUACAUCUGAUCUCUGAAUUCUGAUUUCAGUUCAAUAUUUUGAUUGUUUGCUUUCUACUUUAUAUUGCUGGUUAUUCAACUGUUAAGAGCAUAAAUUGACCACUGGUUUCAACCCCCAUUCUGUCCAUAGAGUCUGCAGUUGUUGAAGUCAUACAAGAUGAUAGGAAUUAGGAAAUGGAAUAAAAGGUUAAAAAGAAUUCUACCAACAAGGACCAACUUGCGACUUAGGAUAAGGAACCUAUAUCCUAUGAAAGCCUAAGGGAACUUCUCUUGAUAAACCACAAGGAUGCAACAGUACAUACACAAAUAGAUUUCAGUAUCCAUAUACCUAUUAUUUAGUGGUCUGUUCCAAACAUCAAUAGCUUAUUAAAAUAAAAAGCAAAUCUAAUCCAUUCAUUUGGGCAGAGGUAAAAAUGCUGGCAGUCAGAUAGAAAGAGAGGACAAACAAUGACUUCAGAGUCUUGGUGGAUUCGAACCACCAUAACCUGGGCAUUACCCCAGGUGCUCUACCAUUUUGACCUAAAGAGGAGCUGCAAAAAAAAUUUGUUAGCAACUGUGCAAUAAGAUCAUAAAAUAACCCCAAAAUGAAGAUUAGAUUUAUUUUCAUUUCUGUUUCAAAUCCAAUACAUACAUUUGCAAACCGGUUCAAACAUAAAAAAUAAAACUAUGAAAAUUUAUUCAAUUAGAAGCUAAGAUGAAUACUGGUUACUUUCUUGUACUAUUUUUCAAUAAAUUGGUUCCAGAAAUAAAUUAGGUUGCCCCAUUCACAUCAAAUUAAUAUUGGCUUGAAAGUGAAAAUCUUAGACUGAUGUGUUCUAAUAAUGUUAUUGAAACAAUAACAACUCCAGAUGCUAAGAGGAGGAAACUGAACAGGCCAUCUGAAGUGGAGUCAUGAGAAGGGGUUUUGGGGCUCUCAUUUCUCACCCAAAUCAGUUUAGUUUUUUGGUUUGGUUGAAUGGAGUUUUGGUGUGUGAAGUUGCUCCUUAACCAAAUAAAGAAAAAGCAAGAGGAAACACGAGAGGAGAGAGGGGAAAGGGAAGGAAGGUUGAAUAAUCUAUAAACUGAGAUGAGGAGGAAUGGGAUGGAAUAUUUAGCCAAUUCUCAUGCUUAUGGCAUGAAGGAAUCAGUCACCAGCUGUUAAUGAAGAAAAUUCUGUCAAGGGAGGAGUACUCAAAAUAAAAAGAGAGGUUCAGCUUCUUGUAGUUCCCAUCUCAGAAAAAGAAAAGGGAAAUAAAGGAGGAGCAAAAUGGAAGGAGCAAAAUAAAGAAAGUCUCCUUACACGCCAGAAUUUCCAAUAGCCUUUUACUUUCUAGGAGAUUUCUUGCUUGAUUGAUUUUUAAAUAAAGAAGGCAGGUGAUCUUCCGUAGUUUAUAAGAUAUAAACUGAAAUUGGGACUCUGUUUUGCAUCUACAGGGUUGGUAAAUUGAGUUGAAAUCGAUAGGGGUCGAUUCAAACCCAAAAUUUUUUCCUCCCAAAAAGAAAGGGGGGGUAAUUAACAAGGAAAGAGAGGGUAUUUCAUACCUUAGGGUGAUGGAACCAGGAUAUGCGCUGGAUAUUUGCUAUUAUGGUGCACUUCAAAUGCAUAUCAUACUAAUGUUGACCUUUUAUCUUGCAUGUUUAUCCAGGCAGUAAAUCAGUAAACAUUAAUUUAACUCUUUUUUUAUCUCUGGAAAUCAUUGUCUUUUAUGUCUUAGAAGGAGUCUAAAUUAAGCUUUAAACAUGGUUUCUCCAGCCUAAAUUUCAUGAUGGUAUGAAAAAGUGGAGUUGUUGCAAGCAAAAUAGCCAUGACUUCAGCUUAUGUUUUAGCACUUCCGGGGGGAUGUGUCUUCCGUUUUUGGUGGGAAAUAAAGGUUGUAUUAGAAAUUUAAAUACAAUUUUUUUUUCUCAAAAUGUGCUUUCCUUGAAAUGAAUAAUUAGAUUGAUCCUGGGAGCAUGGGAUCAUGUUGCCUUUCUUCCUGUGACACAUACCAGCCAGCCAGGUAAUUGGGUGUUGGUGUACGAUGUCUUGUAUUCCGUAGCAAUUUAACCAAGGGAGUACUGGGCAGACCUCCCCGACAAAACGGAGGUUCUGCUUAGGGUUUUUUGCUAUAUAUUUGUAGCGAGAGUUACUUUCUAUGUAAGCAAUUCUGAGAGGUAAAUGGAGUUGAAAAUUUUUCUUUCCAUAUUGAUUGUAAACACUCUUGACCAGAUGGCUGCCCAGCUUCCUGUUCUGAUGCUGAUUACCUUUAGUUGGACUUUAAAAUCCUGAGGUCUCAUAUUAUUUGAUCUCUUUACUGCCUUUUGAAAUACAUGUUCUGAUUCAGUAACAGUAGGUUUUAUAUUCUUUAGGUUCACAAGCUGGAGAGGUGAACUCAAAACCUUCUAAUGCAGUGAAACACAGAAGAUUCAGAUUCCUUCUCCAGUGAAGAAGAUUAUUGAUAUCAACCAGUGUGGUAUAACCUUCAAAGAAAAGGAUAACCAUGAUAGUGCAUGCAGUUACCAUCCUUUGUUUCUCAACUCCCUGCAAAGGUCCUAGGUUUUCUGAAGAUAAUGGCUCCAUGCUGCCCCUGAUGGGUCAAUCUAGAUGUCACUCUCUUAAAAUUGGAUCAAGAAAUUUUUCUGCUCUUGCUUUACUGGUCCGAAACUAACUCAACUAGGUGUGAUUUUCCUCCUCUUUUUUUGGGACCCAGUUUCUCACCACCCAUGAUGAAGAGCAAAUCUCUUCAUCUCCCCCAUCUGACCCUCUGGUUGGAUUGAAUAAGAGUGUUUUGUGUUUUUAACGAUGAACUAAGAGUCCAAUCAUAGUGUUGAAUUAAUGUUUUAAUGAAGAGUUAUGGAGUUUUAGGGACCACAAGAGGGGGUCAGGAUGGACAUAAUUAUUUUCUCCUUAAGAAGCAACUUCUAUAA
This is a long non-coding RNA of Macadamia integrifolia, 3395 nucleotides long. RefSeq lists it as uncharacterized. The transcript has 3 exons. The record is from RefSeq and is a predicted model, not a curated record. Lineage: Eukaryota; Viridiplantae; Streptophyta; Magnoliopsida; Proteales; Proteaceae.